AUACGGAGGGUGCAAGCGUUACUCGGAAUCACUGGGUGUAAAGCGCGCGCAGGCGGGCUGAUAAGUUGGAUGUGAAAGCCUACGGCUCAACCGUAGAACUGCAUCCAAAACUGUCAGUCUAGAGUGUGGGAGAGGAAGAUGGAAUUAGUUGUGUAGGGGUAAAAUCCGUAGAGAUAACUAGGAAUACCAAAAGCGAAGGCAAUCUUCUGGAACACUGCUGACGCUGAGGCGCGAAGGCGUGGGGAGCAAACAGGAUUAGAUACCCCUGUAGUCC
Molecule: ribosomal RNA, 274 nt
Filed under: uncultured bacterium
Lineage: Bacteria
Description: partial 16S ribosomal RNA
Rfam family: Bacterial small subunit ribosomal RNA
Source: RNAcentral